CUUGAUCGAGCCCAGCCGCAGCGGCCGCUCGGCGGUGUGGUGCCGCCCGUAGGUGGCCAGCAGCGCCUGCGCCUC
This 75-nucleotide antisense RNA is filed under the name Allonocardiopsis opalescens. RNAcentral describes it as "ASpks TB sRNA". It matches the Rfam family "ASpks TB sRNA". The record is from Rfam by way of RNAcentral. Lineage: Bacteria; Bacillati; Actinomycetota; Actinomycetes; Streptosporangiales.